This 284-nucleotide ribosomal RNA is filed under the name uncultured bacterium. RNAcentral's name for it is "partial 16S ribosomal RNA". It matches the Rfam family "Bacterial small subunit ribosomal RNA", at positions 773 to 1060 of the family's 1533-position model. The record is from RNAcentral.
GUGGAUUAGAUACCCUGGUAGUCCUAGCCGUAAACGAUGGGCACUAGGUGUGGGGGGUAUGACUCCCUCCGUGCCGCAGCUAACGCAUUAAGUGCCCCGCCUGGGGAGUACGGCCGCAAGGCUAAAACUCAAAGGAAUUGACGGGGGCCCGCACAAGCAGCGGAGCAUGUGGCUUAAUUCGAAGCAACGCGAAGAACCUUACCAAGACUUGACAUGCAGGUGAAGCGGUGGAAACGCCGUGGCCGAAAGGAGCCUGCGCAGGUGGUGCACGGCUGUCGUCAGCU